AGAGUUUGAUCCUGGCUCAAGAUGAACGCUAGCGGCAGGCUUAACACAUGCAAGUCGAGGGGCAGCGAGAUUGUUAGCAAUAACGAUUGUCGGCGACCGGCGCAAGGGUGCGUAACGCGUGAGCAACUUGCCCGUUUCAGGGGGAUAACCGGUGGAAACGCCGACUAAUACCCCAUGGUGAUAUCUUAAGGCAUCUUAUGAUAUCUAAAGAAUUUCGGAAACGGAUAGGCUCGCGUGACAUUAGAUAGAUGGCGGGGUAACGGCCCACCAUGUCGACGAUGUCUAGGGGUUCUGAGAGGAAGGUCCCCCACACUGGAACUGAGACACGGUCCAGACUCCUACGGGAGGCAGCAGUGAGGAAUAUUGGUCAAUGGUCGAAGGACUGAACCAGCCAUGCCGCGUGAAGGUCACGGCCCUACGGGUCUUAAACUUCUUUUGCGAGGGAGCAAUAAGGUUCACGUGUGGACUGAUGAGAGUACCUCGCGAAUAAGCAUCGGCUAACUCCGUGCCAGCAGCCGCGGUAAUACGGGGGAUGCGAGCGUUAUCCGGAUUUAUUGGGUUUAAAGGGUGCGUAGGCGGCCUGUUAAGUCAGCGGUGGAAUUCAGGGGCUCAACCUCUGCCGUGCCGUUGAUACUGGCAAGCUUGAAUGCGGAUGCCGUGGGAGGAAUGUGUGGUGUAGCGGUGAAAUGCAUAGAUAUCACACAGAACACCGAUUGCGAAGGCAUCUCACGAAUCCGCUAUUGACGCUGAUGCACGAAAGCGUGGGGAUCAAACAGGAUUAGAUACCCUGGUAGUCCACGCUGUAA
This 806-nucleotide ribosomal RNA is filed under the name uncultured bacterium. RNAcentral describes it as "bacterial SSU rRNA". It matches the Rfam family "Bacterial small subunit ribosomal RNA", at positions 8 to 805 of the family's 1533-position model. The record is from RNAcentral.